CUUUUAAACCUAAUCAAAACAAAAUAUAGUAUUCAUGGGAUUAGGUUUAUUGUAAUGGAUUUGAGGAUUUGGUAGAUAAAAGCAGUAAAUUGUGGAUUGAAGAAUUUUCUUGUAAGAGAUGUUUCAUGUAAGGGAAGGAUCAUAUUCUGGAACAUUUGUUAGCUUUGGUUACUUCUCACUAUCUACAUAUACAUUUUUGCAGUCAUUUUAUGAAAUAAAUCCUCGAGUUGGAACUUAUUUACACGGAAUGCCAUUGACAUUAAUAUUCCUAAUUAGUAGCAUUUUCUUAUCUAAUAUAUCUCCAUUAAUUAUAAUUACUUAAAAAAUGAGAAAUUUUAGGACAUUAUUAAUAUAUACUUGA
This 361-nucleotide small RNA is filed under the name Arabidopsis thaliana (thale cress). RNAcentral's name for it is "ATSL153110". The record is from RNAcentral. Lineage: Eukaryota; Viridiplantae; Streptophyta; Magnoliopsida; Brassicales; Brassicaceae.